RNAcentral lists this ribosomal RNA (468 nucleotides) under uncultured bacterium. RNAcentral describes it as "partial 16S ribosomal RNA". It matches the Rfam family "Bacterial small subunit ribosomal RNA", at positions 28 to 507 of the family's 1533-position model. The record is from RNAcentral.
GACGAACGCUGGCGGCGUGCUUAACACAUGCAAGUCGAACGGAAAGGCCCUGCUUUUGUGGGGUGCUCGAGUGGCGAACGGGUGAGUAACACGUGAGUAACCUGCCCUUGACUUUGGGAUAACUUCAGGAAGCUGGGGCUAAUACCGGAUAGGAGCUCCUGCUGCAUGGUGGGGGUUGGAAAGUUUCGGCGGUUGGGGAUGGACUCGCGGCCUAUCAGCUUGUUGGUGGGGUAGUGGCUUACCAAGGCUUUGACGGGUAGCCGGCCUGAGAGGGUGACCGGCCACAUUGGGACUGAGAUACGGCCCAGACUCCUACGGGAGGCAGCAGUGGGGAAUAUUGCACAAUGGGCGGAAGCCUGAUGCAGCAACGCCGCGUGCGGGAUGACGGCCUUCGGGUUGUAAACCGCUUUCGCCUGUGACGAAGCGUGAGUGACGGUAAUGGGUAAAGAAGCACCGGCUAACUACGUG